This 1372-nucleotide ribosomal RNA is filed under the name uncultured bacterium. RNAcentral describes it as "bacterial SSU rRNA". It matches the Rfam family "Bacterial small subunit ribosomal RNA", at positions 28 to 1381 of the family's 1533-position model. The record is from RNAcentral.
GAUGAACGCUGGCGGCGUGCCUAAUACAUGCAAGUCGAGCGAACGGACGAGAAGCUUGCUUCUCUGAUGUUAGCGGCGGACGGGUGAGUAACACGUGGAUAACCUACCUAUAAGACUGGGAUAACUUCGGGAAACCGGAGCUAAUACCGGAUAAUAUUUCGAACCGCAUGGUUCAAAAGUGAAAGACGGUCUUGCUGUCACUUAUAGAUGGAUCCGCGCUGCAUUAGCUAGUUGGUAAGGUAACGGCUUACCAAGGCAACGAUGCAUAGCCGACCUGAGAGGGUGAUCGGCCACACUGGAACUGAGACACGGUCCAGACUCCUACGGGAGGCAGCAGUAGGGAAUCUUCCGCAAUGGGCGAAAGCCUGACGGAGCAACGCCGCGUGAGUGAUGAAGGUCUUCGGAUCGUAAAACUCUGUUAUUAGGGAAGAACAUAUGUGUAAGUAACUGUGCACAUCUUGACGGUACCUAAUCAGAAAGCCACGGCUAACUACGUGCCAGCAGCCGCGGUAAUACGUAGGUGGCAAGCGUUAUCCGGAAUUAUUGGGCGUAAAGCGCGCGUAGGCGGUUUUUUAAGUCUGAUGUGAAAGCCCACGGCUCAACCGUGGAGGGUCAUUGGAAACUGGAAAACUUGAGUGCAGAAGAGGAAAGUGGAAUUCCAUGUGUAGCGGUGAAAUGCGCAGAGAUAUGGAGGAACACCAGUGGCGAAGGCGACUUUCUGGUCUGUAACUGACGCUGAUGUGCGAAAGCGUGGGGAUCAAACAGGAUUAGAUACCCUGGUAGUCCACGCCGUAAACGAUGAGUGCUAAGUGUUAGGGGGUUUCCGCCCCUUAGUGCUGCAGCUAACGCAUUAAGCACUCCGCCUGGGGAGUACGACCGCAAGGUUGAAACUCAAAGGAAUUGACGGGGACCCGCACAAGCGGUGGAGCAUGUGGUUUAAUUCGAAGCAACGCGAAGAACCUUACCAAAUCUUGACAUCCUUUGACAACUCUAGAGAUAGAGCCUUCCUCUUCGGGGGACAAAGUGACAGGUGGUGCAUGGUUGUCGUCAGCUCGUGUCGUGAGAUGUUGGGUUAAGUCCCGCAACGAGCGCAACCCAUAAGCUUAGUUGCCAUCAUUAAGUUGGGCACUCUAAGUUGACUGCCGGUGACAAACCGGAGGAAGGUGGGGAUGACGUCAAAUCAUCAUGCCCCUUAUGAUUUGGGCUACACACGUGCUACAAUGGACAAUACAAAGGGCAGCGAAACCGCGAGGUCAAGCAAAUCCCAUAAAGUUGUUCUCAGUUCGGAUUGUAGUCUGCAACUCGACUACAUGAAGCUGGAAUCGCUAGUAAUCGUAGAUCAGCAUGCUACGGUGAAUACGUUCCCGGGUCU